This 899-nucleotide unclassified non-coding RNA is filed under the name Hevea brasiliensis (rubber tree). The record is from RNAcentral. Lineage: Eukaryota; Viridiplantae; Streptophyta; Magnoliopsida; Malpighiales; Euphorbiaceae.
CUGAGGGAUCCGCACAUGUCAAACUACAAAUAUUCUUGACUAGCUUAUCAUUUGGACUAGGCUUACGUGCAAUACAACGACAAAUUAGUUCAGCAAGUGCCUCAGCAGCCUUGUAUUGUAAUAUUUCCUCCUGCUCUCUUUUGAUCGAGGCCAUUAGAGGUAAAAUGAUUGGAUUAAGUCGUGCAGGAAGCUCUGACAUCCAGACAACUGCAGCGGCAACUAAAGCAGAGACAGUAACAUGCAAGUUACUCUGUACACAUUUCAAAUAGCCUGCAGUUGUCAAAAGUCUGUGCUUUGAUGAUUCAAUAUCAUCCACAAUGUUUCGUCCCAUAGGUUCAUUCACAGUACCUUCAUUACAUAAUGGAGGCAACAUUGAAGUAAGAUUGAUUGCCUUAUCAGCACUCAAGCUUUCCAGAUCUACUCUAAUAGAUGAUAGUAUUAUCAAACAUCCCAGAGGACUCGAUGGCGUGUAGUAACUGACUAGCCUCAUUGUGCAUCUUCGUAUACGUCCUUGAAAGCUCAGAAUAUGGAAGAACUGAAUCUUUUGUAGGAAAUGCAGGGUCAGAACAUGAUAAUAAAUCCAACAACCAACUCUUAACAUGAUUAGGAAAAGCAGGUAUAACUCCAUGUUUUUCAGACAGGUCAUUGCUGUUGAUCUCUUUGAACCAUGAUAUAAGAACCAUGGAUGCCACCUGCCGCUGGACCCCAGAAGAAGAGGCAAGAGCAUUCCACAGUGCAUCUACUACAUAUAGAAAAGAUCCCUCACGCAACUUAGAAGCAAAAAUUCCCAAUGCUGAUGCUGUAAUCACUCGAGUAUUAGUUAUUGACAUUUCAACAUCAGCACCAACAAUAAUCUUUACUGUACUAGCAGAAGCAUCUCCAUUUCUUUCCUGUGGAAU